Molecule: ribosomal RNA, 244 nt
Filed under: uncultured Actinomycetales bacterium
Lineage: Bacteria; Bacillati; Actinomycetota; Actinomycetes; Actinomycetales
Description: partial 16S ribosomal RNA
Rfam family: Bacterial small subunit ribosomal RNA
Source: RNAcentral
GCUCGAGUGGCGAACGGGUGAGUAACACGUGAGUAACCUGCCCUUGACUUUGGGAUAACUUCAGUAAACUGGGGCUAAUACCGGAUAGGAGCUCCUGCUGCAUGGUGGGGGUUGGAAAGUUUCGGCGGUUGGGGAUGGACUCGCGGCUUAUCAGCUUGUUGGUGGGGUAGUGGCUUACCAAGGCUUUGACGGGUAGCCGGCCUGAGAGGGUGACCGGCCACAUUGGGACUGAGAUACGGCCCAG